RNAcentral lists this long non-coding RNA (301 nucleotides) under Gossypium raimondii (Peruvian cotton). Its description in RNAcentral is "long non-coding RNA (GRAI_LNC001278)". The record is from RNAcentral. Lineage: Eukaryota; Viridiplantae; Streptophyta; Magnoliopsida; Malvales; Malvaceae.
UUUCCCUCUCUCUUUCUCCUUAUUUUUUUACCGAUUUGUUUUUUAUCAUUUUCUUUCCUCAUUCUUUCUUGGUUUGGUUUAUUCUUCCCGAUUUUAUAUCGUUCCGGGUACAAAUUAAUUUUUAAAAGGUUAAGAACGAUAAUUCAUUUUGUGGUGAACUAAAAAACUUUUCUUUUUUUUAUCAAACUUCUACUUACAUUAAUAAUGGAUUGAAAACUUAAUUAUCUUCACUAUCAUCUUAACUUUUAUUACAAUAAUACUAACUAUAAUUGAAAUAAUCACAUUACACGAUUACUAAUGU